This is a non-coding RNA of Varroa destructor (honeybee mite), 1961 nucleotides long. The record is from RefSeq and is a predicted model, not a curated record. Lineage: Eukaryota; Metazoa; Arthropoda; Arachnida; Mesostigmata; Varroidae.
AUCACUUGACAGUAAAUGCAUGGAAGGCUGUUUUAAUCCGAAAAGUAGUAACGUCAGCGAUCUCUGAUGUUGACAAUCAUCUCUGAAAUUCGAAGAAGUGCCGGUGCAGGCCUGAAUAGCCUAACGUAGCAGUGAAACAGACAGACUCUGCAGAACGAACCUAUCUGACAUUUCAUCUUAUACGGCUCUCCGUGGGACAUUUAUUGAACAUACUCAGGUGAUGUGCCGAACGUAACGCCUACAGUUGACUCUCUGCACACUCGGAGUCGGGGUUACUCAAGUAAACUGUACACGAUUGAAUGAACCAUAUAUUAUUUUUUUAGAGCCAUAGUAUUAUUAUUACUUUUCUUUAUUCAAUUUUAUAGGACAUUUUGGGAAGCAAGGAGGGGUCGAAUUCAUUCAAUUAAAAUGGAAAUUAAAACAGAAAAUUCUUAUGCUUAAACUGCUUUAUUAACUUAACAUUAGCAGCUCAAAAUAUUAUAGGAUUCUUAUCUUCGUUUGUUUAUAACGGAGGUCUUCAGAGAUAAAAAAAAAACCCGAUCGUACCGAACAAAACAUGAAAUAAUGAAAAGGCAGCUGCAAAUAUCUCCCGCGACCACGACCCAUCCGCUUGACAAGAUAAAGGCAAUGGCAAAUCGUGGAAAAAUGCGACUACUUUCUCGUCAACUAUUGGAUGUUCUGGCAAAUACUAAAUUGAAUACCGCCUUCAUUUGUGCAAAGAGGAUAGAAAGGCUACGAAUAUUGAAGAGGACAAGGGCGUCUGCAGAUCAUAUGUUCGCGUGUCGUGACUCCUCUGGAUAGCAUCCGAUGUAUGGACCUGCCACGAACUCGGUGUGCGGUGCCUAUAAAUAGAUGCACUGAACGACAUCCUCAAUCUCAGAGCUACCAUCGGCCUCAAUCAGAUAGAAAUACAUAAGGCUCAACAAGCUGUUAGUUUUUUUAUGUAAGCACGAAAAGCCGACACGAGCUUAAGAAAAGAGACGUAUAAUAGAAGCCAAUAUUGGAAUCCAGUUUUUCUCUGUUCAACAAGUAAAUCCGCGCCUAUUAUUAAUGGUGUCGCGGACAACGAUGUAUGAACGGAACAAGUUUUAAGCUCACCGAAUGUUCUAGCGAUACAACUAUGUGAGCUCGGUGAGCAAUAGUAGAAAUCUGACUAAAAAACUAUCCUUACUAAUGACAGAUGGACCUUAUUCCUUGCCGGAUACAGCAUUCUAUGUAAAUAGACGAAAACUUACAAUUAAAAAAAAAAUUGUAAAAUUACUAAAUUAACAACUUCCGCGCAUUUGCCUACUAAACAAAUUAUAUUAAACAGCCAUUAUACUUAAAGAAGUGAGGAAUCUUGUCUGUUCGCUUUAAACGUCUUCCCUUCUUUUUAUCAUUUCGGUUAUUCUGAUUCCUUUGCUCGUACGCUGACUGUGAUCCGUCUAAACUUAAAUGGCCAGAUUCGCGUAAAACACCCAUUAAGCGACGACACCUCGUUUGAAGAAGUGGGAAGGAGUGGUAAUGGGGUAAUUUUAAUCUAAACAUACUUCGAAUAUAUGUAUAUAUGUGUAUGUAUUUUAAGUUCUUUGACGGACGGUUUGCCAUGGCCUGAAUAUCGCCAGAUAGAAACACCUAAGCAACAGUACCACAGCUGUCGAUCGUGUGUGGUUAUUUUGAAAAUUGUCAACCCCGAGCUAUUAAUCGGCAAAAAAAGUAUAUCGUUUUCAUCACAAAUUGAACUAUUGAUAUCUGUCGGAUUGGCACCCUAGGAUACCGUAUGAAAUCUGUUGUUCGGCUUAACUAUUUAGCGCGUCUUCCUAAACAGCGGCGUAACAGUAUCGUCAUGUUAAGAGCAUUUGUUAUUAAAAUAGCACCUUGACGAGACGCUUCCAACUUCACUGUAGGGAAAUGUAGAAACUCUCGCAUCAUCAAGGACCUGCCCGACAUGAAAAAGCACUGUUCAUUUAAAUGACCUUAAA